Molecule: ribosomal RNA, 643 nt
Filed under: uncultured fungus
Lineage: Eukaryota; Fungi
Description: eukaryotic LSU rRNA
Rfam family: Eukaryotic large subunit ribosomal RNA
Source: RNAcentral
CCCGCUGAACUUAAGCAUAUCAAUAAGCGGAGGAAAAGAAACUAACAAGGAUUCCCUUAGUAACUGCGAGUGAAGAGGGAAGAGCUCAAAUUUGAAAUCUGGCGGUCCUUCGGCUGUCCGAGUUGUAGUUUAGAGAAGUGCUAUCCGCGCUGGCCUGUGCAUAAGUUUCUUGGAAAAGAACAUCAUGGAGGGUGACAAUCCCGUCUUUGGCACGGAUCCCAGGGCUUUUGUGGUGCGCUCUCGACGAGUCGAGUUGUUUGGGAAUGCAGCUCUAAAUGGGUGGUAAAUUCCAUCUAAAGCUAAAUAUUGGCGAGAGACCGAUAGCGAACAAGUACCGUGAGGGAAAGAUGAAAAGAACUUUGAAAAGAGAGUUAAACAGUACGUGAAAUUGUUGAAGGGGAAACGCUUGAAGUCAGUCGUGUCCUCUAGGGAUCAAGUCAGCUCUGGCUGGCCGUACUUUCUAGUUGGAUGGGUCAGCAUCAAUUUUGAUCGCUGGAUAAAGGCCUUGGGAAUGUGGCAUCUUCGGAUGUGUUAUAGACCAAGGUUCUGAUACAGCGGUUGGGAUUGAGGAACUCAGCGCGCCUUCGUGGUUGCGUUCAGGAUGCUGGCAUAAUGGCUUUAAUCGACCCGUCUUGAAACACGG